This 26-nucleotide non-coding RNA is filed under the name Cricetulus griseus (Chinese hamster). The record is from RNAcentral. Lineage: Eukaryota; Metazoa; Chordata; Mammalia; Rodentia; Cricetidae.
AGGCAGCUAGAGGAAUGGGAAUUCUU